UACGGAGGGUGCAAGCGUUGUUCGGAAUUACUGGGCGUAAAGGGCUCGUAGGCGGCCAACUAAGUCAGACGUGAAAUCCCCAGGCUUAACCUGGGAACUGCGUCUGAUACUGGAUGGCUUGAAUUCGGGAGAGGGAUGCAGAAUUCCAGGUGUAGCGGUGAAAUGCGUAGAUAUCUGGAGGAAUACCGGUGGCGAAGGCGGCAUCCUGGACCGAGAUUGACGCUGAUGAGCGAAAGCUAGGGGAGCAAACGGG
RNAcentral lists this ribosomal RNA (253 nucleotides) under uncultured bacterium. RNAcentral's name for it is "partial 16S ribosomal RNA". It matches the Rfam family "Bacterial small subunit ribosomal RNA", at positions 524 to 776 of the family's 1533-position model. The record is from RNAcentral.